This 632-nucleotide ribosomal RNA is filed under the name uncultured earthworm cast bacterium. RNAcentral describes it as "bacterial SSU rRNA". It matches the Rfam family "Bacterial small subunit ribosomal RNA", at positions 42 to 669 of the family's 1533-position model. The record is from RNAcentral.
GCAGGCCUAACACAUGCAAGUCGAGCGGUAGAGAGAAGCUUGCUUCUCUUGAGAGCGGCGGACGGGUGAGUAAUGCCUAGGAAUCUGCCUGGUAGUGGGGGAUAACGUUCGGAAACGGACGCUAAUACCGCAUACGUCCUACGGGAGAAAGCAGGGGACCUUCGGGCCUUGCGCUAUCAGAUGAGCCUAGGUCGGAUUAGCUAGUUGGUGGGGUAAUGGCUCACCAAGGCGACAAUCCGUAACUGGUCUGAGAGGAUGAUCAGUCACACUGGAACUGAGACACGGUCCAGACUCCUACGGGUGGCAGCAGUGGGGAAUAUUGGACAAUGGGCGAAAGCCUGAUCCAGCCAUGCCGCGUGUGUGAAGAAGGUCUUCGGAUUGUAAAGCACUUUAAGUUGGGAGGAAGGGUUGUAGAUUAAUACUCUGCAAUUUUGACGUUACCGACAGAAUAAGCACCGGCUAACUCUGUGCCAGCAGCCGCGGUAAUACAGAGGGUGCAAGCGUUAAUCGGAAUUACUGGGCGUAAAGCGCGCGUAGGUGGUUAGUUAAGUUGGAUGUGAAAUCCCCGGGCUCAACCUAGGAACUGCAUUCAAAACUGACUGACUAGAGUAUGGUAGAGGGUGGUGGAAUUU